RNAcentral lists this transfer RNA (64 nucleotides) under Andrena chekiangensis. Its description in RNAcentral is "tRNA-Leu". It matches the Rfam family "tRNA". From Rfam's summary of the family: Transfer RNA (tRNA) molecules are approximately 80 nucleotides in length. The record is from RNAcentral. Lineage: Eukaryota; Metazoa; Arthropoda; Insecta; Hymenoptera; Andrenidae.
UUUAAUAUGGCAGAAUAGUGCAAUGGAUUUAAACCCCAUAUAUAAAAUUAAAUUUUUAUUAAAA